Molecule: long non-coding RNA, 356 nt
Filed under: Numida meleagris (helmeted guineafowl)
Lineage: Eukaryota; Metazoa; Chordata; Aves; Galliformes; Numididae
Description: lncRNA (ENSNMEG00000007656.1)
Source: RNAcentral
UAUAAAGCCUGUCUUACAAUCAGAAUCUCUCUCAAAAAAAAUUGUAAUUCCAAAAUAAAUGGCAUAUUUUCUUCUUCAGAGAUCGGACAAAACAGCUCAGCCUGGAGAAAGUCCUGAAGAUCAACUUAAUGCAAAGACAGUCAUAAAAUGAAACGCUGUGAGACAAGAUUGCUGGAGAGAUGAAAACCUGACAUGCAUCUUCUAUGAUAAACAGAAUGACUUAUUCUUUAAACAAAAGUAACCUACUUUAGUUACUUUUAAAGCUGUUUUUUAAUUUUCUUUUUUUUUUUUUGGCAUCUGAUUGAGUUUUUAUUUCUUUAGUGGAGGAAUUUUAAUUUCAGUAAGUUCGAAUUUAC